This is a non-coding RNA of Danio rerio (zebrafish), 54 nucleotides long. The record is from Rfam. Lineage: Eukaryota; Metazoa; Chordata; Actinopteri; Cypriniformes; Danionidae.
GCUUUGGUCAUUUGUAAGUCACUUUGGAUAAAAGCGUCUGCUAAAUGACUAAAU